RNAcentral lists this ribosomal RNA (643 nucleotides) under uncultured bacterium. Its description in RNAcentral is "bacterial SSU rRNA". It matches the Rfam family "Bacterial small subunit ribosomal RNA", at positions 78 to 737 of the family's 1533-position model. The record is from RNAcentral.
CUUCGGGUAAUGAGGAUGGCGGACGGGUGAGUAACGCGUAAGGAACUUGCCUCUUGGACUGGGACAACUGUUGGAAACGACAGCUAAUACCGGAUAUUAUGAGAUUCUCGCAUGAGAAAUUUAUGAAAGCUAUAUGCGCCAAGAGAGAGCCUUGCGUUCCAUUAGCUAGUUGGUGGGGUAACGGCCCACCAAGGCGACGAUGGAUAGCCGGCCUGAGAGGGUGAACGGCCACAAGGGGACUGAGACACGGCCCUUACUCCUACGGGAGGCAGCAGUGGGGAAUAUUGGACAAUGGGCCACAAGCCUGAUCCAGCAAUUCUGUGUGCACGAUGAAGGUCUUCGGAUUGUAAAGUGCUUUCAGUUGGGAAGAAGAAAGUGACGGUACCAACAGAAGAAGCGACGGCUAAAUACGUGCCAGCAGCCGCGGUAAUACGUAUGUCGCAAGCGUUAUCCGGAUUUAUUGGGCGUAAAGCGCGUCUAGGCGGAAAAAUAAGUCUGAUGUUAAAAUGCGGGGCUCAACUCCGUAUUGCGUUGGAAACUGUUUUUCUAGAGUACUGGAGAGGUGGGCGGAACUACAAGUGUAGAGGUGAAAUUCGUAGAUAUUUGUAGGAAUGCCGAUGGAGAAGUCAGCUCACUGGACAGA